This 299-nucleotide ribosomal RNA is filed under the name uncultured bacterium. RNAcentral's name for it is "partial 16S ribosomal RNA". It matches the Rfam family "Bacterial small subunit ribosomal RNA", at positions 335 to 650 of the family's 1533-position model. The record is from RNAcentral.
CCACCUAGGGAGGCAGCAGUGGGGGAUAUUGCACAAUGGGGGAAACCCUGAUGCAGCGACGCCGCGUGGGCGAAGAAGUAUUUCGGUAUGUAAAGCCCUAUCAGCAGGGAAGAAGAAAUGACGGUACCUGAGUAAGAAGCACCGGCUAAAUACGUGCCAGCAGCCGCGGUAAUACGUAUGGUGCAAGCGUUACCCGGAUUUACUGGGCGUAAAGGGAGCGCAGGCGGCACGGCAAGCCUGAUGUGAAAGCCCGCGGCCCAACCGCGGGACUGCAUUGGGAACUACCGGGCUGGAGUGCC